Molecule: ribosomal RNA, 347 nt
Filed under: uncultured bacterium
Lineage: Bacteria
Description: bacterial SSU rRNA
Rfam family: Bacterial small subunit ribosomal RNA
Source: RNAcentral
AGAGUUUGAUCAUGGCUCAGGAUGAACGCUGGCGGCGUGCCUAAUACAUGCAAGUCGAACGCUUGCUUGAGGACUUGUCUUCAAGCGGGAGUGGCGAACGGGUGAGUAAUACAUAAGCAAUCUGCCCAUCGGCCUGGGAUAACAGUUGGAAACGACUGCUAAUACCGGAUAGGUGAUGAAGAGGCAUCUCUUGAUCAUUAAAGUUGGGAUACAACACGGAUGGAUGAGCUUAUGGCGUAUUAGCUAGUAGGUGAGGUAACGGCUCACCUAGGCGAUGAUACGUAGCCGACCUGAGAGGUGACCGGCCACAUUGGGACUGAGACACGGCCCAAACUCCUACGGGAGCA